AUUAAACGCCGCGACGUUGCCAGCUGAGUCUCAUACAAUAUAUGACUCCCUGGAAAAACAGAUAAUAUAUGCCAAGAGCCAAAAAAAAAUAAACACUCCUCGAAACAAAAACUAACACAGAGCCGGUCGAAAAUUGUAAUUUACGUCCAAUAAAACGGUUCUGUUUACUAUUACACGAAUGCAAAUUGAUGGCUGGCCGGCGCCGUUCGACACUAAAAAUAACUUACAGCGGAAUAUACAGCACACACACACACAAUAUAAAGUCCCUCACUCACAUCGAAUUUGAUUACAUUCACUUCGGCGGUUGCAACAUUAUUGGGUUAAACGUUCAUUUUCAAAUGGUCCAUUUAAAACUGCGGGGCAGUUUGGGUUCCGGGGGGGAAGAGUUUUCGCACAUAUAUACGCACGUACGCAUUUUUUUGGCACGCGCGACUCUCGCGAAGUAAACAACGACGCGAUUCUCGGUAUCGGGCGCUCGCCGGUGCCAAAACCCGUUAAAUUUAGCGAUUCGGUCAUUCAACGUGUCCACCGUCGCGGCGCCUCCUGACGACGAUGCCGCCCCGACGCCCGUCCACGAAGACUCUUUUUUUUUUCUUACAUUUGCAAUUAUUGCAGGCCAUCAAUCCAAGAUCUUCAAGGGAGUUAGAGUUUGUGGCAAAGACUUUGGCUUUUAGAUAACCCCAUAAAAAAAUCCAAAGGGGUAAGAUCGGGAGAUCUAGCAGGCCAAUUUACGGUACCUCUCCGGCCAAUCCAUCGUCCAGGAAACACGUCGUUCAAAAAAUGACCUGUAGCGCGUAACUCGGUUCAAACCAAUUUAUUUCCAACCCGUGUGAGUCAUACCUACUAUCCAACCACAAAAAAAUUACUCCAAAAAAAAAAAAAAGUCCAGACAAGUAAAUUUUGUUUUAAAAGAUUCAGAGAUUUGGUGGCCGCCAGCUUUUAGACAGUGGAGAAGGUAGUGGAAGAAAUUUUAAUAAGAGCGCCACUUGAUUUCAAUGGUACUAAAUGAUAGAAUGAAUUUUUACAUAUGUUAGAUAUUAAUGAUCCAUUUUUUUAGAUAUACAGUAUCGGACAAAAUUAGAGAGACUUCUCUAUUUGCCAACUCCAAUUUUUUGUACUUGAAAUAAUAUUAAUAUUUGUUAAGCAGUGUAUACCGGAGUUGACAAGAAUUCUAUUAUCAACAAUUCAUUUUUGUAGCUCAUGUUUACAUUUAUUUAAAGAAUGUUUUUAACAUUGAUAAAAAAUUACUGCGACAGAAACUCAUUUUGUGUUUAGUUUCGCUGAAGUCGCGAUUAGUUUAAUUUCUGUUUAUUAGUUUGAGAAUAUCAUUAGCAAUGCCUCGUGGUAAACAUUAUUCCAUAGACCUAAAAGAAAAAAUUAUAAAAGCCUAUAACUCAGGUCGCUCACAAAAAUUAAUAAAAGAGCAAUUCAACGUCAGUAAACAAAUGGUUUCCAGAACAAUAAAAAAUUAUCAGCUCCGUGGAAGAGUGACAAACCUUAAAAGAGGUGGCCGCAAGAGAAAAACCUCAGUACUGCUGGACAGGAGAAUUAAACGACUAAGUCAGAAUAAUCCGCGUCUAUCUUCAACACAGAUUUUGGCUGAAUUGGAGGCGCCUGGGGUUUCAUCCAGGACUGUGCAACGGCGAUUAGUGGAGGCGAGGCUUCCUGGAAGGAGACCAGCAAAAAAACCCCAUCUAUCAAAAAAAAAUUUAGCUGCUAGAAUGUUAUUUGCAACACGUCACCGUUACUGGACAGCUAAGGACUGGAAUAAGGGUUUGUUUAGUGACGAGUCUAAAUAUAAUAUUUUUGGAAGUGAUGGAGCGCAGUUCGUACAUCGCCCAGCAAACAAAAGGCUUGAUCCAAAAUAUGUUUCUGGUACUGUGAAGCACGGAGGUGGCAAUUUAAUGGUUUGGGGUUGUUUUUCGGGUUAUGGAAUGGGUCCUAUCCACAAAAUUGAGGGCACUAUGGAUAGAUUUAUGUAUCGGACUAUACUGGAAGAUGUAAUGUUGCCUUACGCCGAAUGGGAAAUGCCGCUAAGAUUCACGUUCCAACACGAUAACGACCCCAAACUUGUGAAGGAAUGGUUUUUGGCUAACAAAAUUCAAGUUUUAAAAUGGCCACCGCAAUCGCCGGACUUAAACCCAAUUGAAAAUCUUUGGGAGAUUAUAGAGAAAAAGAUUCGCACUAAAAACAUCGGGAAUCGUGCUCAAUUAUUUGAAGAAAUCGAGAAUGCCUGGAAAUCAAUGGAUCCGGCUGUAAUUUCGAAUCUCAUUGGAUCGAUGCCGAAUAGAUGUGAAAAAGUUAUCCAGAAUAAAGGGUACUGGACAAAGUAUUAGGUUAGUUUCAUUAGUAUAGGGUACAAAUGUACUUUAAGGAUAAGUCUCUCUAAUUUUGUCGCACAGAAUUUUUUGCAUUUUUUUAUUUUUCCUAAUAAAUCUUGAGAAAUGUUUUUUUUUUUUUAAAUUUAUUUUAGUGCCUUUUUAAACUACUUCAAAACAUAACAUCCUUCAGCACAAAAAGAGGAAUUUAAUCAUUUUUAUCUUACAUAAAAGACGUAAGUAGUCGAGUCUCUCUAAUUUUGUCCGAUACUGUAUAUACCAAUUAAAAAUAUGGUAUAAUUCUCAUGUCAAAGAAAUAAUUUAGGAAGAUCCUCGUGAAUAUGGUUGGAAAAAUAAUGAAACUUACUGGAGACCAAUAUAAGCAAUACAAGAUCCGAUCCCCAAUAAAGUAAGAAAAGCAUUGUCAAUUCGGUGUUCCGACAAAAAUUGCAACUAUAAUAGGUGCACGUGUUUAUCUCAAGGAUUAAAAUGUUGUGACGAAUGUAAAUAUGCAAUAUGUAGCAACAGACCACAAGAUGAAGAACUAAGCUCGUCAGAUUCAAAGUCUGAAGAAAUCUAAAUCUUUUCAAUUUAUGUUCUUUUUUUGUUUUUGCAAUUCCUGUUUUAACUUAAUAUUAAAAAUAUAAGUGUAAUUCCAGUGCAGUCUGCGUUCCUAAUAAAAAAAAAUUAUCGAAUCGCCAAAUUAGUCAGGAGAUUAUCCAAAUGGGCCUUCAAAACACAUCGAGAGCGCGGUACCGUGCGACAUUUUGUGGGCAUCUUCAAAUUCACAAAUGAGAAAUCGACAAGAAUGGUGUAAACUGGCAUAUUGGGAACUCCAGGAGCGCGUUGGGCCCCUUUUUCCAGUGGAGCCCAACCACCUGGACGUAUUCGGCGAAGUGCCGUGCGGCCCCGACGGGGUCUGUCUCGAC
Molecule: unclassified non-coding RNA, 3247 nt
Filed under: Anthonomus grandis grandis
Lineage: Eukaryota; Metazoa; Arthropoda; Insecta; Coleoptera; Curculionidae
Description: mothers against decapentaplegic homolog 6
Source: RNAcentral